This is a long non-coding RNA of Acinonyx jubatus (cheetah), 2354 nucleotides long. RefSeq lists it as uncharacterized. The record is from RefSeq and is a predicted model, not a curated record. Lineage: Eukaryota; Metazoa; Chordata; Mammalia; Carnivora; Felidae. The transcript is spliced from 3 exons.
CCUCUCUCCCCCUCACUCUGCUCCAGCCACAUGAACCUCCUCGCCUUUUCUCCAUCAUGACAGGCAGGUCCUGCCCCAGGGCCUUUGCACCGGUUGGGCUCCCCCCUCACCUGAAACACUGUUCCCAAGACCCUUGCUGGGUUUGCUCCCUUGCUUCAUCUGAGACCUGGCUCAAAUGUCACCCCCUCUGAAGUGUCCCCCAACCACCUUGCCCAAAACAGUCCCUCUGAGGUCACUCUCCUCAUCUCCGUGGCUUUCUUGGUCUUCCAGGCACCCAGCAGCUCCUGGGGCUCACGUGUUAUGUCUCCCCCACUACAGAGAGACCAGGUCUGCUCAGUCACCCCCUGACGGACACCGUCAGAGCUGAGUGUGGAGUCAGCGCUGGAGAGGGCAGCAGGGGGACACGAGGCCUCCAGGGUGGGGCCGCUUCCCAGAUCAGGGCUGCAUGUGCCCAGGCCGGGUGCCGGCUCCCCGUGACUCAGGGCGAACGAGAAGGCGCCAGGACAAGGCAGCGGGGCCAGGAGCCCCGAGAAGCCAGGAAGUGGCCUCACACACUUCCCUGAUUGGCCGGAGCGACCCGGUGGCCCUGGGCCUCCCGCUGCGCGGCCGCCUCAGCAGCGGGGCCCUGCGGGCAGCCUGCGGGGACGCUGGGAACCUCUGCAGGGGGGGUGGCAAUCCCAACCCUCAGCCCCCGGGCCGGCCGAGCCACACUUGAAAGUCCUCUCUCCAAACCGGAAGGGCCGCAGCUGAGCGGAGACGGCCGGCUCUCUGCAGCCACGUGAUGCUCCGAGUGGUGCGGUGCAACGGAGAAACCCUAUGGCGUGGGGAAGGGUGGAAGCUUCUGGUUCUGCCCUCUGGGAACCCCGAGCCCCGAGGUCCCGGCGGGGGUCCCCGCCACACUGGCGACCGCACCGGGGAGGUAGGCGGCCCCCAGCCGAGGUGCGGGACCAGGGUGCAGGCGCCCGCCGACCCCGGGCGAGACCCCAGAGCCGCGAGCACACACGCACUUGUUCGCUCAGGCUCGAAGCUCCGGGCGGCCUGUUACGCAGCGACAGCUGACUGAAGCAGGGACCACGGUACGAGCCGAGAGCCACCACGGCGGUGGGGACGCCGGCCGGUGCAGCAAGACAAGAAAAAAGAAAAGGAACGGAGGUUGGAGAGAAAAAAUUUCAGAAAACCCAAGAAAGAAGAACUCAACACAGCAGAGCAGGCGGCCGGCAGCUAACCCAAGGUCACGGCGCUCCGAGCCGAGGAGAACGGGAGUCUGGGAGUCUGUGCCCUCUGCGCCCACCCCCUGCUCCUUAUACGCCUGCCUCGCCUGGUUCCACGCUUGGUAGAGCAGAGGCCACAGCGGGCUUGCCAGCGCUGCGUCCAGUCCCGGCACGUGGGAAGCUCAUCCCGGCUCUCACCCCGACAGCCGACAGCCGGGGGGACAAAAGUCCCCGUCGCGCCAGGAACCAUCGGGGCCUCAGCAGGGGCAGGACUCAGGCAAAGGCUGAAACUUCAAACUAGGGGGCAAGUCUCAAACGAAGGCUUUGGGACUAAGAAAGCCCCUUUCUGCCUCGCGGAUAGUUUUUUCCUCUCACGAUUUUGCGUUUACCACCCCAAACCACCCGGAAGGGUGAAUGGUGGCAGGUAAGGAAUUACAGAUUGUCCUGAUUCCCAGCUUCCCAAAGAGCAUUCUGUCCACCACUCGCUCCCUCGCGCGUUCCAAACUCUGGGAGCGUUCCCUGCGUGCUGGGCCCCGUUUCUGGGGACACACUGGUUCUCUGUCUAAAUAGAUUUAGGGACAAAAGAUCCGAGGCGCCCAGAAAAGACGCCAACGCAUCGGGCGCCUGGGCGGCUCAGUCUCGGCCGAGGGUCCCACUCUCGGUUCCGGUGCAGGUCAUGAUCUCCCGGUUCGUGGGUUCAAAUCCCGGGUAGGGCUCUGUGCUGACAGCCUGCUCGGGAUCCUCUCUCUGCCGCCCCCCUGCUGCUCUCUCUUUAUUUUUAAUGUGUAAAAAUGAACAUUAAAAAAUUACAAAAUAUUUCGUGAUAAAAAUAGCUUAGCCGUACUCUCCUGUCUACUUCCGUCUUCUGUUUGCAGCUCCCCGUACUAAACAGCUACAGGCGCGCACACGCCCCAGCGCUGGGCUGGCGCCCCGAAAGCCGCACCCCCCACCCCCUAACACUCCCGGGAGACGACCGCCACUGGACCCACUUUACAGCCGGGGAGACUGAGGCCCAGAGGUCUCAGAGGCAAGUUCAAGGUAGCUCAGUGGCAGGGGCUCCCGAGUCUCUGCAGACACGCUCCGCCCGCAAGGGCUGGCGGUCGGGUGUGCUCAAGGCAGCCCAAGCCGGCCCGCCCUCGCGGC